GCUACCUGUCCACGUCCCUCUCUCAGUUGAAUGACUUCUUUGGUCUCCCUUUCUUCCCUCCAGCAGACAGAUUCCUGUGGCUUUUCCCUAGGAGAGUGACUGAGGAGAAAAGAAAGUUUGAGCAGUAGAGAACCUCAGAGGCCAUCUGGAGUUGCACCUCUGUGAAUAUGAGAAGUCUGCCGCCCAUGCUGUGUGGUCAUGUGACCAGCUCCAUGGCGGUAGAUUUAAACAUUGCAUGAAUAUUAUUUUGUAUCUUUGGAAAGACUUUGUUUAUGAAAGAAGCACUCAAAAAGGGCCUGGGGAAGCCGGGCAUGGUAAUCCAGUGGCCUAUAAUCCCAGUGGCCUGGGAGACUGAGACAGGAGGAUUGGGAGUUCAAAACCAGCCUCAGCAACUUAAUGAGGCCCUAAGCAACUCAGUGAGACCCUGUCUCUAAAUAAAAUACAAAAAGGGAGUGAGGACGUGACUCAGUGGUUAAGUGCCUCUGGGUACAAUCCCCAGUACAAAAAAGGGUGGUGGGGGGGGACAUGUUCUGUACUAUUCUAGGGCUGCUGGAUUGGCUUUAGAAUGUGAGGAUUUAGAAGACGAAACUCAAAGUAGAUAAAAUUUUUUUGUUUUUAAAGAAAGGUUAUCAUCAGAAAGUUAUGUCACUUGUUCAAAAUCCUGGGGAAUCAAAUAUGGGAGGAAUGAAUUGAGUGAAAGGUAAAUUCAUAAGAAGGGAUAGAAUUUUCUCUUGGAACAUGGUAACUAUUUUAAGAAACUGUACACCAGAACACCAGUUGGGUAAGAAACGUUGGAUAAGGAGUACUCUUUCGUUCCUUUUGGCUGUGCUGGGGUUUGUACCCAGGGCCUUAUAUACCCUAGGCAAGUGCUUUAUCACUGAGCUACAUCCCUAGCCCACAGUUGAACUCUUAAAUAAGGAGAGAUGAGCCAGAUGAGGUGGUGUAUACCUGUAAUCCCAGUGGUUCAAGAGGCUGAGGCAGGAGAAUCGUGAGUUCAAAGCCAGCCUCAGCCAAAGUGAGGUGCUAAGCAACUCAGUGAGACCCUGUCUCUAAAUAAAGUACAAAAUAGGGCUGGGGAUGUGUCUCAGUAGUGGAGUGCCCCUGUGAUCUGAUAUGUUAAUGUGAUAUGAUAUGUGAUAAAGAUAUGUUCUCAGUGGCUUCAGAGUAGGUCUGGAGAAAAUAAGAGCCAAUCAAACCUGGUACUCCCACUCACCCCGCCGCCCCCCCCCCACACACACACAAAAAUAGGAGAGAAGUGAUGAAUUCCUUUUGAAAGAAAGAAUGUGAAAAAAAAAGCAAGCAUGUCUAUCAUUUGGAGGAGCUAUGUAUAACACCAAGUGGGAGAAACAUAGAGAAGGGGAAAAAGAAAAUCAGAGAAAGGUCACUGAUGGAUAAUAAGACCUUGUGAAUUAGGGUUCUUUUGUGUAAUUGAACAAAGCUGGAGAAAAAGUUGUUAGAAGAAUGCUUUUGGCUGUACAGCAUUUGCAUAUUAGCAUAUUAGAGAACAAGUCUUUACUUCAUGUCCCUUCAUCAUAAAAUAAACAGAAGAUCCCCUUAUAGCUCUAAGUCCAGGACAAAGACAAAGAUAUUAACCAUUGCUUUCUGAGGGAUCACACAGAGAGAAUCUUCUCACUGUGCCGUCACCUUUCUGCAUUAAAGUGGGAGCUUUGGUUGUGGAUUCAUAACCUCUGUAGGGCAAACUGGUCAGACCACAGUCCAGUAUUUAAUGCUCCUGGUGUUUCUCUAAGAUACUAGACCUGGCUAGGGCUCAAGGUUUACACAAAUGUGUGACUUCGCUUUCUUCUGGCCACCAUUUGUUUUCUAGUUUAUUUGUCCUUGGUCCAUAUGAUGCCAAGCAAUUGGUUUGACUGGUUUUUGUUUCACUAAAUGGAUGAGACUGACCUCUUUGGUGUCCUGGGGAGACAGACCCCAGACUGGGGCACAUGGCUCACAGAGGGAACCAGGCUCCUUUUUCUUGAAGACCAGUUUGAGUGUGACUGUCUGUUUGAGGUAUUUUGAUAUUGCAGACCUGUAAAGAUAUGUUCUCCGUGGCUUCAGAGUAGGUCUGGAGAAAAUAAGAGUCAAUCAAACCAAAACUAGACUAGAGGCACUAGAAACUGGGAUUUAGGAACAGACCCCAGAAGGCAUGUAGCUCUGAAGCAGAACACUCAGGUGCUGUGGGGUCUUAGAGGGCGCUGAUAUGAUCCAGGCCAACCCCAGGGUCAUGGGCAACUGUAGGCAGAGCAGGGUCUGUGAGAGAAACCAGGUCCCAGGCAGGCUGAGAGUCUGGCAGUCUGGGCCUGCUCCAGUGCCUGUCAAUAGGGGACAACAGACAUCCGUAGGUCACAUUGGAAAAGGGCUGCCAGUUAACUUAGGUUCCUACGUGUCCAAAUGUGGCGUUCUGUUUGCAUGGCAUGUUUAGCUAUCCCAUGUUAGUGGCUACCCCACCAACCCUGAGUCCAACUGCUGACAGGUGCUUGAUGCUGAAUUUUAUAGUUACUACAGUUCUAACUAGGACAAGUUGGCCCAAUCCAUUUGCUAGUUAU
RNAcentral lists this long non-coding RNA (2546 nucleotides) under Marmota monax (woodchuck). The record is from RNAcentral. Lineage: Eukaryota; Metazoa; Chordata; Mammalia; Rodentia; Sciuridae.